Molecule: non-coding RNA, 115 nt
Organism: Flavonifractor plautii ATCC 29863
Lineage: Bacteria; Bacillati; Bacillota; Clostridia; Eubacteriales; Oscillospiraceae
Source: Rfam
AUCGAAUCGCAGGGGCGCUGGACGCAAGUCCGGCUGAGAUCAGGGCGUAUGGCCGCCCGUGUCCCUUAAACCUGAUCCGGGUAAUGCCGGCGUAGGAAGAGUAUUCGACGAUAGA